UUGGUGAGUAUAAACCCCUUUUCUGUGCUAGUGAUGUCUUGAUGCUGCAUGAAUAAUAUAUUUAUUGUUCAGAUGAAAUAGAUUAGACUGUGCUGUGUGUUCAGAGUGCAAUAGCACAUAGAUAUCUGAGCAUCAUGAGCAUAGUGUAGUGAACACAACAGACUGUGAUCUCUAACAGAACAUUCAUCAUGCUGGUGUCUAGUUUGUCAUUUAGUGUUGUACAGACACAGAAAUCUGACCUACACACUGAUACUGAGAGAGAAAAAGCUGAAGGUUUUUGUUUGAAUGUGAUUUGAUAACAAUAACUCUAUUAAAGUUUUUUUUUUUUUUUUUUAAUAAAACAGAAGCCUAACAAUUCAACAACUGCAAAAUUCAAAUUAUGUAAACCGUAUGCACAAAAUAGCAUGUUUGUGUUUUAAGAACAACAAAACACAUUUAAACAAAGUCUUUCAAGUGUGACGGUCUCCUGACCAUUCUGCCACUUCUAGUUGUCACGACUCUCUUGCUAGUAUCUGAAGGGUUUGUGUGUGUUGUGCUCGACUCUGGUACUGCUUUUGAAUGUCCCUUAUCGGUAAGAAUCUUCCGAUUAGUCUGAACAAAUAGAUAUCUGAGCAUCAUGAGCAUAGUGUAGUGAACACAACAGACUGUGAUCUCUAACAGAACAUUCAUCAUGCUGGUGUCUAGUUUGUCAUUUAGUGUUGUACAGACACAGAAAUCUGACCUACACACUGAUACUGAGAGAGAAAAAGCUGAACGUAUAGCAGUGAGAAGCAAAGCAACACACAAAGCUCGGUAAUAUUGGGCUGCUAGUUUGUUCUGUAGACUGUGUGCUGUGUUUGAAUGAGCGCAGUCAGAAUGAUCAGAGUUACACUGAGACAUCGGUGAUCAGACUGCUGCAGAAUCAGACAGAGUCACAGUGUGAGCUAACCGGAUAACGCUAGGAAAAAGACUAGCUCUUGUUGAAAGUGAGAGGUUUUGCUCUUUUACCUUGUGCUCAGAAACUGUGACAGUCACAAUGAUGAGUAAAGAAACUCCAAUAUUUUCUACACAAUGAAUAAACACCAUGUAUAACGAUUAAACAUAAACCUCAGUGAAAGUCUGUAGAGAUCUGAGACACAGAACAAAAAUCCACCAGCAUGACCUCAGAGUCUUUAUCCAAUAGACAGAUAAACACACAGAUAAAGUUCAAGAGCAAAGGAGCAGAUUCCAGUUUGUUAAAAAGUAGAUGAUGGACAGAUGAGACAAAGACUAAGCUGUAGCAGAGUGAUGAAAAGAGGAAAGUGUGAAGUGAAAAGAAAACUG
Molecule: long non-coding RNA, 1302 nt
Organism: Tachysurus vachellii
Lineage: Eukaryota; Metazoa; Chordata; Actinopteri; Siluriformes; Bagridae
Exons: 2
Source: RefSeq, a predicted model, not a curated record